RNAcentral lists this small nuclear RNA (196 nucleotides) under Trifolium pratense (red clover). Its description in RNAcentral is "snRNA U2". It matches the Rfam family "U2 spliceosomal RNA". Rfam says of the family: U2 is a small nuclear RNA (snRNA) component of the spliceosome (involved in pre-mRNA splicing). Complementary binding between U2 snRNA (in an area lying towards the 5' end but 3' to hairpin I) and the branchpoint sequence (BPS) of the intron results the bulging out of an unpaired adenosine, on the BPS, which initiates a nucleophilic attack at the intronic 5' splice site, thus starting the first of two transesterification reactions that mediate splicing. The record is from RNAcentral. Lineage: Eukaryota; Viridiplantae; Streptophyta; Magnoliopsida; Fabales; Fabaceae.
AUACCUUUCUCGGCCUUUUGGCUAAGAUCAAGUGUAGUAUCUGUUCUUAUCAGUUUAAUAUCUGAUAUGUGGACCAAUGGUUCACACGAUAUUAAAUUUAUUUUUUGAGGGGGAGAGUCCGCCACAAUAGCUUGCUAUUGGGUUUCUCAAGUGUCGCUUUUGUGUUGCACUAUUGCAAUUGCCUGGCACACCCCAC